AUACUUACCUGGCAGGGGAGAUGCCAUGAUCACAAAGGUGGUUUUCCCAAGGUGAGGCUUAUCCGUUGCACUCUGGAUGUGCUGACCCCUGUCAUUUCACCAAAUGUGGGAAACUCGACUGCAUAAUUUGUGGUAGUUGUAGACUGCAUUCACACUCUCCCC
This is a small nuclear RNA of Pteronotus mesoamericanus, 162 nucleotides long. RefSeq annotates it as U1 spliceosomal RNA. Lineage: Eukaryota; Metazoa; Chordata; Mammalia; Chiroptera; Mormoopidae. The record is from RefSeq and is a predicted model, not a curated record. The transcript has a single exon.